UGCGGAGGGAUCAUUACAGAGUUAUCCAACUCCCAAACCCAUGUGAACUUAUCUCUUUGUUGCCUCGGCGCAAGCUACCCGGGACCUCGCGCCCCGGGCGGCCCGCCGGCGGACAAACCAAAACUCUUGUUAUCUUAGUUGAUUAUCUGAGUGUCUUAUUUAAUAAGUCAAAACUUUCAACAACGGAUCUCUUGGUUCUGGCAUCGAUGAAGAACGCAGCGAAAUGCGAUAAGUAAUGUGAAUUGCAGAAUUCAGUGAAUCAUCGAAUCUUUGAACGCACAUUGCGCCCAUUAGUAUUCUAGUGGGCAUGCCUGUUCGAGCGUCAUUUCAACCCCUAAGCACAGCUUAUUGUUGGGAACCUACGGCUUCGUAGUUCCUCAAAGACAUUGGCGGAGUGGCAGUGGUCCUCUGAGCGUAGUAAUCUUUUAUCUCGCUUCUGUUAGGUGCUGCCCCCCCGGCCGUAAAACCCCCAAUUUUUUCUGGUUGACCUCGGAUCAGGUAGGAAUACCCGCUGAACUUAAGCAUAUCAAU
Molecule: ribosomal RNA, 531 nt
Filed under: Nigrospora sphaerica
Lineage: Eukaryota; Fungi; Ascomycota; Sordariomycetes; Amphisphaeriales; Apiosporaceae
Description: eukaryotic LSU rRNA
Rfam family: 5.8S ribosomal RNA (bases 172-325)
Source: RNAcentral